RNAcentral lists this unclassified non-coding RNA (924 nucleotides) under Nilaparvata lugens (brown planthopper). Its description in RNAcentral is "gastrula zinc finger protein XlCGF17.1-like, transcript variant X8". The record is from RNAcentral. Lineage: Eukaryota; Metazoa; Arthropoda; Insecta; Hemiptera; Delphacidae.
AAGUCUAUUUGAUUUUUCAAAAAAUAACAAGGAAAACUGUGAAUAUACGUAAAUCAUUCUAAUAAAUUAAACUUAGAAAACGAAUAUUUUAAUUUCAUUGUUCCCUUAUAGUAUAUUAUUUUUUCCUAUUUUUAGAAAAAUGGAUAAAGAGAUCAAGAUCGAGAAGCAGGAGGAUGAAUUUGGAGAAUGUGAAUUUGAAACUAGCAACGUCAAAGAUGAGUCAUCCUCGCACAAUGGUUCAACUUCCAAUCAGAUGGCGAGAGUUAAGCAGGAGAAUGAUAGCAGCCAAGAACCAGCGCCAGAGUGCAGCACUGCAUGCUCUCCAACUGAUGAUGAUUUCAGCCAACAACAUUAUCUAAUCCCUGGCUAUAAUCUAAUAUUCAUCAAAGAGGAAGAAUAUGUUGAGCAAGAGGCAGAAGGAUGUUCAGUGGAGAGUGAAACGGAGAUGUGGCCUUCAAACUGCAGCACAUCUGAAACUGCCAAUGCAACAGAAGUGGGUGGACUGAAUGCACAUUCAAUCUCUCCCAUGGAAGAGUGCACUGAGCCAUCUGUGGCUGGCAAAAUGAUCAAGCUCUACAGCUGUGCUGACUGCAGCUAUAAAACUCCAUCGAUUACUAAUUGGAAGAGACACAUGAGAAAACACACUGGGGAAAAGCCUUUCAGUUAUCAAGAUCGAGAAGCAGGAGGAUGAAUUUGGAGAAUGUGAAUUUGCAACUAGCAUCGUCAAAGAUGAGUCAUCCUCGCACAAUGGUUCAACUUCCAAUCAGAUGGCGAGAGUUAAGCAGGAGAAUGAUAGCAGCCAAGAACCAGCGCCAGAGUGCAGCACUGCAUGCUCUCCAACUGAUGAUGAUUUCAGCCAACAACAUUAUCUAAUCCCUGGCUAUAAUCUAAUAUUCAUCAAAGAGGAAGAAUAUGGUGAGAUUC